This 1510-nucleotide unclassified non-coding RNA is filed under the name Hevea brasiliensis (rubber tree). The record is from RNAcentral. Lineage: Eukaryota; Viridiplantae; Streptophyta; Magnoliopsida; Malpighiales; Euphorbiaceae.
GUUUGGUUUCAUACCUUUUAAAGCCAAAGAUUUUAUUUAUUUAUAACCACACCUACAACAAGAGAAAGAAAACAAUUAUCACACCAGAGAGAAAGAGCAAGAAAAGAAAAAGAAAAAGAAGGAGAAAUUGGAGCAAUGACAACCCAGAAACAGAUAUUGGAUCAGCAACAAUCACAGAUGCAGAGAUUGAAGAAUCCAGGUGUUAUUAGUACCAAUGAAAUUCCAGUAAAGGAUGACAAGGAGGAGGAUGAGGAGAUGUCAACAUCAGCAUUGGGUAUGUUUCGAGCCAAGGAAGAGGAGAUUGAGAGGAAGAAAAUGGAGAUGAAAGACAAGGUUCAGGCUCAGUUGGGACGUGUUGAAGAAGCAACCAAACGCUUAGCUGGGAUACGAGAAGUAAGUUUAGAUAUACUGCAAAACGAUCUUGCUAGUAUAGUGUCUGCAAAAACCUCAGGCCAUAGAUGAGACUGAAACAAAUUUUCUUUUUCUUUAUGUCUAAUGAUAGGCAAUAAGAACCUAUUGAUCAGUUUUUGUCUUCUUUUUCUUUUUCUUCAUGGAGACUAUUAUCUUUUUUACAUGGGGAAAAAAAAUCUUUUAGGAGCUUGAAGCUCUCACAGAUCCACUGAGGAAAGAAGUUUCAAUGGUGCGAAAAAGGAUCGAUACAGUUAACCGGGAGUUGAAGCCUCUGGGGCAGACCUGCCAGAAGAAGGAGAGGGAAUACAAAGAAGCCGUUGAAGCUUUUAAUGAGAAAAACAAGGAAAAAGCUCAACUGGUUUCCAAAUUAAUGGAGCUGGUGGGUGAAAGUGAGAGACUGAGGCUGAAGAAGCUGGAUGAAUUGAGCAAGAACAUUGAAACUUUUCGCUAAUUGAAACAUUCUAACUAUAGCAGAAACCAGUCAUGUUAUAUAAGCUUGAUGUAAUUAGAAUCAUGCCUUUGAAUUUGGUGUAUACAUUGUGACUUUUCUAUCUGCAUGAUUUUUUUUUCAGUGGGUUUUUAAUCAUUGGAGGGCAGUUUGUUCAUAUAGGGAAAAAGAAAAUCAACCACCAAACUGCAGGUUUGGUACUAAGCACAUUGUCAAGCCUUGGGACAUUUCUCAAAUCUUGCAUUCAAAUGCAAGACAUUCUUUGUUUCAGAUUUGCAUAGUGACGUUGUACCUUAUUGUAUUGGUAAACAGGUCAUCUAGCUUCUUUCAUCAUCAUCAUCAUCAUCCUCAUCAUCUUCUACAUCUAAUUCAUCAUCAACAGCCUCACCCGUAAACCAUGACACAGCAUGAGGAAUAAUUUUGUCCCGAAUGGUAGUACCAAUAUUGUAAUCCUGUUCCAUUCUAUCCUGGAUUUCCUCAACAGCAUCAUCAUCUAGGUCAUCAUCUUCCUCAGGGAUAUUAGGAGUGUUAAAGAAAUUGAAGAAACUAGCACAAUUCUCAAUUUUUGUGAUGGGUUUGGCAUUCUUUGAUCCCUUUUUUGGUUUCUUCUUCAGGACCUUCUUUGUCAAGCAUUUUCCUGGAUACCAUUCA